GUAGGUGGCAAGCGUUGUCCGGAAUUAUUGGGCGUAAAGCGCGCGCAGGCGGUCCUUUAAGUCUGAUGUGAAAGCCCACGGCUCAACCGUGGAGGGUCAUUGGAAACUGGGGGACUUGAGUACAGAAGAGGAAAGCGGAAUUCCAAGUGUAGCGGUGAAAUGCGUAGAGAUUUGGAGGAACACCAGUGGCGAAGGCGGCUUUCUGGUCUGUAACUGACGCUGAGGCGCAAAAGCGUGGGGAGCAAACAGGGAUUAGAUACCCUGGUAGUCCACGCCGUAAACGAUGAGUGCUAAGUGUUAGGGGGUUUCCCGCCCCUUAGUGCUGCAGCUAACGCAUUAAGCACUCCGCCUGGGGUAGUACGGCCGCAAGGCUG
Molecule: ribosomal RNA, 374 nt
Filed under: uncultured organism
Description: partial 16S ribosomal RNA
Rfam family: Bacterial small subunit ribosomal RNA
Source: RNAcentral